AUAUCAAUAAGCGGAGGAAAAGAAACCAACAGGGAUUGCCCUAGUAACGGCGAGUGAAGCGGCAACAGCUCAAAUUUGAAAUCUGGCCUCGGCCCGAGUUGUAAUUUGCAGAGGAAGCUUCUGGCGCGGCGCCUUCCGAGUCCCCUGGAAUGGGGCGCCAUAGAGGGUGAGAGCCCCGUACGACCAACGACUUAGCCAUGUGAACGUCCUUCGAAGAGUCGAGUUGUUUGGGAAUGCAGCUCAAAGCGGGUGGUAAAUUCCAUCUAAAGCUAAAUAUUGGCCAGAGACCGAUAGCGCACAAGUA
This 304-nucleotide ribosomal RNA is filed under the name uncultured eukaryote. RNAcentral's name for it is "partial large subunit ribosomal RNA". It matches the Rfam family "Eukaryotic large subunit ribosomal RNA", at positions 40 to 350 of the family's 3401-position model. The record is from RNAcentral.